Molecule: ribosomal RNA, 537 nt
Filed under: uncultured Inocybe
Lineage: Eukaryota; Fungi; Basidiomycota; Agaricomycetes; Agaricales; Cortinariaceae
Description: eukaryotic LSU rRNA
Rfam family: 5.8S ribosomal RNA (bases 157-310)
Source: RNAcentral
CAUGUGCACGCUUGUUUCUUUUUAUUUCUCCAACUGUGCACAAAUUGUGGACCUGUUUUGAGGAUUGCUGUGCAGCUUUCUUCUUUGUUUCUCAGGUCCAUGUUUUCACAAUCUCUGAAUGUAUUAGAAUGGUUUUGAAUUGGGGAAUAUACAUACAACUUUCAGCAACGGAUCUCUUGGCUCUCGCAUCGAUGAAGAACGCAGCGAAAUGCGAUAAGUAAUGUGAAUUGCAGAAUUCAGUGAAUCAUCGAAUCUUUGAACGCAUCUUGCGCUCCUUGGUAUUCCGAGGAGCAUGCCUGUUUGAGUGUCAUUUAAAACUUCUCAACCGCAUUUUGGUGUGGCUUGGAAAUGGGGGGUGUGCAGGCUUUUAUGGAAGUCUGCUCUCCUGAAAUGUAUUAGCGGUGUCUUGGUCAGACUACCACAGGUGUGAUAACUAUCGAUGCCUUGGUAUAUGCUAGGCUGCUUCCAAUCUUCAAUGAUCAACUUGACCUCAAAUCAGGUAGGAUUACCCGCUGAACUUAAGCAUAUCAAUAAGCG